Molecule: non-coding RNA, 24 nt
Filed under: Arabidopsis thaliana (thale cress)
Lineage: Eukaryota; Viridiplantae; Streptophyta; Magnoliopsida; Brassicales; Brassicaceae
Source: RNAcentral
AGACGUGUUGCUCGACAUCUUUGA